Molecule: long non-coding RNA, 512 nt
Organism: Helianthus annuus (common sunflower)
Lineage: Eukaryota; Viridiplantae; Streptophyta; Magnoliopsida; Asterales; Asteraceae
Exons: 2
Source: RefSeq, a predicted model, not a curated record
CAACACUCCACCUCUUGUACGCCUUUCUUCUCCGGCAAUCUGACAACUGUGUUGGCCUUCUGUGUUUCGAUGUUGUAACUUUCGAACUCAGGCUUUUAAGCCGGUGAUGCGAUUUGGUCGAGUGUUAGGCUUGCUUUGGUUCUGCUAAUGAAAAUGGCAUUUUGUAUGCAUUCGGGUUGUAGGCUUACUUUGGUUCUACCGAUGAAUAUCUUGUUUUGUGUAGAAAGGGGUGUAGGCUUACUAUAUGUAGGCUUCUUGAUCAUUCGAAAGUUAUCGCAAUUGUUUGGUGUGAUGGCGAUGAUGGUGCUUGUCAUUUGGCUCGGCAUGCUUUCAUCAUUUCAUGUGCCCAUGACAAGUUGCCGAGCCUAGAAAUGUUUGGUUAAUAGUGCCAUCUGUGUAUGCAGAAUGUUAUUUCAUGGCUAACAGAUUUGUUUUGUGUAUUUGUACAUUAUCAAUUAGUAAAUGGUUUCUAGUAUUUGUGUCUGUUGAUAUGAAUUUGGUGAUUUUUUGUG